GUCCUGGCUCAGGAUGAACGCUGACAGAAUGCUUAACACAUGCAAGUCUACUUGAACUUCGGUUUGGGUGGCGGACGGGUGAGUAACGCGUAAAGAACUUGCCUCACAGUUAGGGACAACAUUUGGAAACGAAUGCUAAUACCUGAUAUUAUGAUUUUAGGGCAUCCUAAAAUUAUGAAAGCUAUAUGCGCUGUGAGAGAGCUUUGCGUCCCAUUAGUUAGUUGGAGAGGUAACGGCUC
RNAcentral lists this ribosomal RNA (239 nucleotides) under uncultured bacterium. RNAcentral describes it as "partial 16S ribosomal RNA". It matches the Rfam family "Bacterial small subunit ribosomal RNA", at positions 16 to 266 of the family's 1533-position model. The record is from RNAcentral.